GGCUGCAACUCGCCUACAUGAAGUCGGAAUUGCUAGUAAAUCGCGGGAUCAGCAUGCCGCGGUGAAUACGUUCCCGGGCCUUGUACACACCGCCCGUCACACCAUGGAAGUUGGUAACACCCGAAGCCUGUAGCCUAACCGCAAGGAGGGCGCAGUCGAAGGUGGGAUUAAUGACUGGGGUGAAGUCGUAACAAGGUAUC
Molecule: ribosomal RNA, 200 nt
Filed under: uncultured bacterium
Lineage: Bacteria
Description: partial 16S ribosomal RNA
Rfam family: Bacterial small subunit ribosomal RNA
Source: RNAcentral